Molecule: ribosomal RNA, 193 nt
Filed under: Paenibacillus sp. 79R4
Lineage: Bacteria; Bacillati; Bacillota; Bacilli; Caryophanales; Paenibacillaceae
Description: partial 16S ribosomal RNA
Rfam family: Bacterial small subunit ribosomal RNA
Source: RNAcentral
UUUAUUGGAGAGUUUGAUCCUGGCUCAGGACGAACGCUGGCGGCGUGCCUAAUACAUGCAAGUCGAGCGGACUUGAUGGAGAGCUUGCUCUCCAGAGAGUUAGCGGCGGACGGGUGAGUAACACGUAGGUAACCUGCCUGUAAGACUGGGAUAACUAGCGGAAACGUUAGCUAAUACCGGAUAAUUUAUUUUC